RNAcentral lists this non-coding RNA (30 nucleotides) under Mus musculus (house mouse). Lineage: Eukaryota; Metazoa; Chordata; Mammalia; Rodentia; Muridae. The record is from RNAcentral.
AAGGCAAACAGGAGCUGACUCUUAGGGUGU